CAACAUUGAUACAACAUUGAGAUAUUUAUUGCAGUGAUAAGUUAAAAAAAACUGGCGCUGAAACGUUCUCUUCAAAAUGGUGGCGAUCACCGUCGUCACUCACUUGCUUGCGGCAAAGAGAAAAAGUGCUGCCGGUGGCGUCAUGUAGCGUCAUGACUUGAAACAGGGCCCGGAGUGCGAGGCUCGACAGGCGACUCAACCCCCACGGCCCUGACUCAACCGCUCAAGAUGUGAAGAUGGCGGAGACUGAGCGGCGGCCGAGGUUGUGUGACGUGAUAUGUGAAGUGUAACUGACUCGAAAAAAGUGAAGAACUGUGCAUA
Amphibalanus amphitrite is the source of this 321-nucleotide long non-coding RNA. RefSeq lists it as uncharacterized. Lineage: Eukaryota; Metazoa; Arthropoda; Thecostraca; Balanomorpha; Balanidae. The transcript has 3 exons. The record is from RefSeq and is a predicted model, not a curated record.